This 358-nucleotide unclassified non-coding RNA is filed under the name Hevea brasiliensis (rubber tree). The record is from RNAcentral. Lineage: Eukaryota; Viridiplantae; Streptophyta; Magnoliopsida; Malpighiales; Euphorbiaceae.
AAAAAAAAAAAAGAGCAAAGCUAUAAAAUUCUUGUUUCCAGCUCCAAAUAAACGAGAAUCAAAACUUUUCUGCAUUUGAUUUCUUAGAAAAAGAUUGAGGAAAGAGAAAACAAGACAAAAAUUUUAUUCCCACAUCACAUCAACAAGUGAGCACGCACUAUUGACUCUAAAUUAUGAUGCAUAUAGUACCCAGAAGAGCAAAGAAAGCCAGGAAGUCUAAUUGAGCCAAGUUGAUUCAAUACAAUAUACUGUUCAUAAUGAAUUUAUUAAAAAAAUUGAUAGGUAUUACCGUUUGAUUCAACAUCACCUUAAAUAUAUUAAUUACAUAGUUAAAUUUGAUGUAUUUUAGUCUCCAAAA